This 396-nucleotide ribosomal RNA is filed under the name uncultured bacterium. Its description in RNAcentral is "partial 16S ribosomal RNA". It matches the Rfam family "Bacterial small subunit ribosomal RNA", at positions 523 to 918 of the family's 1533-position model. The record is from RNAcentral.
AUACAGAGGGUGCGAGCGUUAAUCGGAUUUACUGGGCGUAAAGCGCGCGUAGGUGGCUAAUUAAGUCAAAUGUGAAAUCCCCGAGCUUAACUUGGGAAUUGCAUUCGAUACUGGUUGGCUAGAGUAUGGGAGAGGAUGGUAGAAUUCCAGGUGUAGCGGUGAAAUGCGUAGAGAUCUGGAGGAAUACCGAUGGCGAAGGCAGCCAUCUGGCCUAAUACUGACACUGAGGUGCGAAAGCAUGGGGAGCAAACAGGAUUAGAUACCCUGGUAGUCCAUGCCGUAAACGAUGUCUACUAGCCGUUGGGGGAUUUGAUCCUUUAGUGGCGCAGCUAACGCGAUAAGUAGACCGCCUGGGGAGUACGGUCGCAAGACUAAAACUCAAAUGAAUUGACGGGG